RNAcentral lists this long non-coding RNA (407 nucleotides) under Medicago truncatula (barrel medic). RNAcentral's name for it is "long non-coding RNA (MTRU_LNC006875)". Lineage: Eukaryota; Viridiplantae; Streptophyta; Magnoliopsida; Fabales; Fabaceae. The record is from RNAcentral.
AAUUGAAAUAUGUGUGUUGAUUUCUGAAGAUGGAUGCACAAAAAAAUAGUUAUAAUCUGAAUCUCAAUUUGAUACGAAAAGGAAAGGAAAAUUGAGAGAAGAAUAUUUUUUUUAUGAAGAUGAUGAAGAAAAAAAAAAUUAUCAAGAUGAUGAAGGAUGAAUGUAGAUGAAGAUGAGGGAAGAAGAAGAAAAAAAAGUAAAUAAAUUAGGUGUUGGUGAUACACUAUAAAAUCUGAUAGACCUUCGUAAUCUAACGGUCUGUUUUUUUUUUUGGAUUAAAAUUAUCAAAAUUGGACCAAAUUGAAUAAAAGAAAUAAGUUAAGGGACGUGUCUGAGAAAGUUAAGACUUAUGGGACCAAAUUGAAUAAAAGAAAUAAGUUAAGGGACUGGCAGAUCAAUUAAGCCUA